GGUUAAGCGACUAAGCGUACACGGUGGAUGCCCUGGCAGUCAGAGGCGAUGAAGGACGUGCUAAUCUGCGAUAAGCGUCGGUAAGGUGAUAUGAACCGUUAUAACCGGCGAUUUCCGAAUGGGGAAACCCAGUGUGAUUCGUCACACUAUCAUUAACUGAAUCCAUAGGUUAAUGAGGCGAACCGGGGGAACUGAAACAUCUAAGUACCCCGAGGAAAAGAAAUCAACCGAGAUUCCCCCAGUAGCGGCGAGCGAACGGGGAGCAGCCCAGAGCCUGAAUCAGUGUGUGUGUUAGUGGAAGCGUCUGGAAAGGCGUGCGAUACAGGGUGACAGCCCCGUACACAAAAAUGCACAUAUUGUGAGCUCGAUGAGUAGGGCGGGACACGUGGUAUCCUGUCUGAAUAUGGGGGGACCAUCCUCCAAGGCUAAAUACUCCUGACUGACCGAUAGUGAACCAGUACCGUGAGGGAAAGGCGAAAAGAACCCCGGCGAGGGGAGUGAAAAAGAACCUGAAACCGUGUACGUACAAGCAGUGGGAGCACGCUUAGGCGUGUGACUGCGUACCUUUUGUAUAAUGGGUCAGCGACUUAUAUUCUGUAGCAAGGUUAACCGAAUAGGGGAGCCGAAGGGAAACCGAGUCUUAACUGGGCGUUAAGUUGCAGGGUAUAGACCCGAAACCCGGUGAUCUAGCCAUGGGCAGGUUGAAGGUUGGGUAACACUAACUGGAGGACCGAACCGACUAAUGUUGAAAAAUUAGCGGAUGACUUGUGGCUGGGGGUGAAAGGCCAAUCAAACCGGGAGAUAGCUGGUUCUCCCCGAAAGCUAUUUAGGUAGCGCCUCGUGAAUUCAUCUCCGGGGGUAGAGCACUGUUUCGGCAAGGGGGUCAUCCCGACUUACCAACCCGAUGCAAACUGCGAAUACCGGAGAAUGUUAUCACGGGAGACACACGGCGGGUGCUAACGUCCGUCGUGAAGAGGGAAACAACCCAGACCGCCAGCUAAGGUCCCAAAGUCAUGGUUAAGUGGGAAACGAUGUGGGAAGGCCCAGACAGCCAGGAUGUUGGCUUAGAAGCAGCCAUCAUUUAAAGAAAGCGUAAUAGCUCACUGGUCGAGUCGGCCUGCGCGGAAGAUGUAACGGGGCUAAACCAUGCACCGAAGCUGCGGCAGCGACGCUUAUGCGUUGUUGGGUAGGGGAGCGUUCUGUAAGCCUGUGAAGGUGUACUGUGAGGUAUGCUGGAGGUAUCAGAAGUGCGAAUGCUGACAUAAGUAACGAUAAAGCGGGUGAAAAGCCCGCUCGCCGGAAGACCAAGGGUUCCUGUCCAACGUUAAUCGGGGCAGGGUGAGUCGACCCCUAAGGCGAGGCCGAAAGGCGUAGUCGAUGGGAAACAGGUUAAUAUUCCUGUACUUGGUGUUACUGCGAAGGGGGGACGGAGAAGGCUAUGUUGGCCGGGCGACGGUUGUCCCGGUUUAAGCGUGUAGGCUGGUUUUCCAGGCAAAUCCGGAAAAUCAAGGCUGAGGCGUGAUGACGAGGCACUACGGUGCUGAAGCAACAAAUGCCCUGCUUCCAGGAAAAGCCUCUAAGCAUCAGGUAACAUCAAAUCGUACCCCAAACCGACACAGGUGGUCAGGUAGAGAAUACCAAGGCGCUUGAGAGAACUCGGGUGAAGGAACUAGGCAAAAUGGUGCCGUAACUUCGGGAGAAGGCACGCUGAUAUGUAGGUGAAGUCCCUCGCGGAUGGAGCUGAAAUCAGUCGAAGAUACCAGCUGGCUGCAACUGUUUAUUAAAAACACAGCACUGUGCAAACACGAAAGUGGACGUAUACGGUGUGACGCCUGCCCGGUGCCGGAAGGUUAAUUGAUGGGGUCAGCGCAAGCGAAGCUCUUGAUCGAAGCCCCGGUAAACGGCGGCCGUAACUAUAACGGUCCUAAGGUAGCGAAAUUCCUUGUCGGGUAAGUUCCGACCUGCACGAAUGGCGUAAUGAUGGCCAGGCUGUCUCCACCCGAGACUCAGUGAAAUUGAACUCGCUGUGAAGAUGCAGUGUACCCGCGGCAAGACGGAAAGACCCCGUGAACCUUUACUAUAGCUUGACACUGAACAUUGAGCCUUGAUGUGUAGGAUAGGUGGGAGGCUUUGAAGUGUGGACGCCAGUCUGCAUGGAGCCGACCUUGAAAUACCACCCUUUAAUGUUUGAUGUUCUAACGUUGACCCGUAAUCCGGGUUGCGGACAGUGUCUGGUGGGUAGUUUGACUGGGGCGGUCUCCUCCUAAAGAGUAACGGAGGAGCACGAAGGUUGGCUAAUCCUGGUCGGACAUCAGGAGGUUAGUGCAAUGGCAUAAGCCAGCUUGACUGCGAGCGUGACGGCGCGAGCAGGUGCGAAAGCAGGUCAUAGUGAUCCGGUGGUUCUGAAUGGAAGGGCCAUCGCUCAACGGAUAAAAGGUACUCCGGGGAUAACAGGCUGAUACCGCCCAAGAGUUCAUAUCGACGGCGGUGUUUGGCACCUCGAUGUCGGCUCAUCACAUCCUGGGGCUGAAGUAGGUCCCAAGGGUAUGGCUGUUCGCCAUUUAAAGUGGUACGCGAGCUGGGUUUAGAACGUCGUGAGACAGUUCGGUCCCUAUCUGCCGUGGGCGCUGGAGAACUGAGGGGGGCUGCUCCUAGUACGAGAGGACCGGAGUGGACGCAUCACUGGUGUUCGGGUUGUCAUGCCAAUGGCACUGCCCGGUAGCUAAAUGCGGAAGAGAUAAGUGCUGAAAGCAUCUAAGCACGAAACUUGCCCCGAGAUGAGUUCUCCCUGACUCCUUGAGAGUCCUGAAGGAACGUUGAAGACGACGACGUUGAUAGGCCGGGUGUGUAAGCGCAGCGAUGCGUUGAGCUAACCGGUACUAAUGAACCGUGAGGCUUAACCUU
This 2904-nucleotide ribosomal RNA is filed under the name Escherichia coli. RNAcentral's name for it is "23S ribosomal RNA". It matches the Rfam family "Bacterial large subunit ribosomal RNA". The record is from RNAcentral. Lineage: Bacteria; Pseudomonadati; Pseudomonadota; Gammaproteobacteria; Enterobacterales; Enterobacteriaceae.